UCCCUGGCGUGCGGCCGUGCGGGGCGAGUCCAGCCCGCUACUGCGGGAGUGCGGGCGGCAGCGGCGGGGCUGAGCGGGCUCUUCCCAGCGUGGUCCAGGUGAACGUUUGUUCAGGCAGCAUCUCCGGGGGCUCUCGGGCGCCUGCCAUUUCUCAGUGUUGUUUUCCUGGACAGGACGCUGUGGCAGCAGAGAGUCGGGGAUACUCGGGGGAAGCUGAUGUCCCGAGGGAGAAGGCUUUGGCCGCCAGCCGCAACCGCUUCGCUGAGGAGCGGGAGCUUCCAUCGGAUGAACUGGAAGUCGGGCAGGAGCCAUGUACCAGGCCCAGCACCUCACCCGCUUCAACCACCAGACUGGGGCUCCCAGCUGGGCACCAACGCCGACCUGGCAAAUUUCAAAACGGUCCUCUCUGCCUUGAGUUUAGAGACCUAAGUGCAAACUUAGCCGAAUUUUUCAGUUUUUUUCUUCCUUAAAAUUAACAUAGUCAUGACUGAAAAUGUGAGAUAUAUGGAAAGUCACUCUGAAACAAAGCCUUUUAAUUUACCAAUAAAACUGGUAAAUAUAUUUUAUCCAUACUUAUAUAUAUAAUAGGAAUAACAAUGACUUUGAUUACUUACAGAAAAUCAUGGGUUGCAGAUAUAUUGCAUUUUGUGUAUAUAAAGAAUAUAUUCAUUCAGGCAUGGCGCUUAUUUUGUGGUUGCUGUGUGGAGACAUCCUGGCCAUCUACUAACCUACUUUCCCCUCUAUUUGAGAAUGACAGGAAUAGAUUACUAAUGUUAGAUGGCAGCUCUCUGCACAACACACAUAUUACUAAAUCUGUCUCUUCUUUUUAAAGUGACAUCUGUCAAAUUAUCUAAGAUCUUCACCUCCCACAAGUAUACAGCAUAGCUAGAAGUUUCCUUGCAAUUUGAGAGAAAUGACCUGAUAAUUCAACAAGGACCUGCUUUUAAGGACUUGAUCCUAAAGAUUUCUCAGACUUUACCUAAGCAAAUUACAUCAGGAAAUUUCCAGUACUUGGGAGUGAGUUUUUUGGAACAGAACUGCCUGCUACCAAGGUUUAUGUGAACACUGCAUACCAUCAGCAUCAGCUGAGCACAUUAUAUGGACCCUCCCUGGAUCAGACCAACAUAGUCCUGGCCAGUCUGGGUUGGAAUAAUGACUGGAAUCUUCCAGUCUGUGUUCUGUAGGUCAGAAGAUUCAGAAUGCAGUUUUGGCACAACUACAAGACUGUUCCCACCAGCUGUUCAUCUAAUUCAUCAGCAAGAACCAUAUUCAACAAGAUUAUACUGCUUUCAUUUGUCCCCUUCAGAAAAGCAGAGGAAGAGCAGAAAAGUAGGAGAGAUGGAGACUACCUGCUUCCCAUCAUAAUGGUCCUUCAUUAGAGGACCUAUUCCAUCAUGAUUCAUGUGAUACCUACACAAGUUCCCAACGGGAGUUGUACUUUGAAUAAUAAAGGUAGAGCAAAGAACAGAAGACAGGUGAGCUGUAUCCUCCAUCUCUGAGAAUACACAGCAUUUCUCUGUCUAGCUGCAAGCCUUCAGUGCCAAACUUACUGCUGUAUAUGUUACUAUAUCCCACUCACUCCAACCCAACCAUGAGCAAGUAAUGAGUUAACAAUGAAUGAGACAAGAUGAUUAUUCAGCAGUGGGACAACUUCUUAGGUUCAUAACCAACUACAGUUUAGCAGCUGUACUGAACUUGAGGAUUGCAGCUAUGCCUUACCUUUUUUUGCUGAUGGGACACAUACAAAAUGUCCAGGUUGUCUGAGAAGCCUUUGUUUAUAUAUGGCUUUAGUAAACCUUUAUUAUGGUGGUUAUCUUACCCACAGCUCUUAUUUAGUCCUGAUGUUUAGCAACAGUAAACUGUUCACUGGAUAGUUUUUUGUCAUGGGAUUCAACAAAAUGAAAGUAAAGAUUACAUAAGGAUUUUUUGUGAA
This is a long non-coding RNA of Catharus ustulatus (Swainson's thrush), 1933 nucleotides long. RefSeq lists it as uncharacterized. Lineage: Eukaryota; Metazoa; Chordata; Aves; Passeriformes; Turdidae. The transcript has 7 exons. The record is from RefSeq and is a predicted model, not a curated record.